Molecule: ribosomal RNA, 425 nt
Filed under: uncultured bacterium
Lineage: Bacteria
Description: partial 16S ribosomal RNA
Rfam family: Bacterial small subunit ribosomal RNA
Source: RNAcentral
GUGGGGAAUCUUGCGCAAUGGGCGAAAGCCUGACGCAGCCAUGCCGCGUGGAUGAUGAAGGUCUUAGGAUUGUAAAAUCCUUUCACCGGUGAAGAUAAUGACUGUAGCCGGAGAAGAAGCCCCGGCUAACUUCGUGCCAGCAGCCGCGGUAAUACGAAGGGGGCUAGCGUUGCUCGGAAUUACUGGGCGUAAAGGGCGCGUAGGCGGACAGUUUAGUCAGAGGUGAAAGCCCAGGGCUCAACCUUGGAAUUGCCUUUGAUACUGGCUGUCUUGAGUACGGGAGAGGUGAGUGGAACUCCGAGUGUAGAGGUGAAAUUCGUAGAUAUUCGGAAGAACACCAGUGGCGAAGGCGACUCACUGGCCCGUUACUGACGCUGAGGCGCGAAAGCGUGGGGAGCAAACAGGAUUAGAAACCCGAGUAGUCC